AGGGGAAACAGAGCAGGGUGAUGGGGUGAAGUGAGAAGCUAAACUGGCCUGUCCUGCCAUCACAAGCAUUCACCUUCCAGUGAGGUAUCACACCAGGGAACCACAUGCUCGAUCCAUGGUGUGAAGUCUGUGAAAAGCUGAGCACUCACUGUUUUGAGUCCAUUCUAUGGGAACACCAGCAGCUCUGGAUUUAAUGAUUCUGCUCUUAAAUGUGCUGAACUCCUGCGUCUCACAGAGAAGGGGUUCAGUAAUGCUCAGCACUUCUGCAAAUAACUUACUGGAAAUGAACCUUUACUUGGAGCCCUGGUGCAGCUGCUAUGGACACAUUUCAUCUUUUUAUAAGCUCAUACACAUAAUAAAACAAGAAGUCACAAAACUAGAUGC
Neopelma chrysocephalum (saffron-crested tyrant-manakin) is the source of this 384-nucleotide long non-coding RNA. RefSeq lists it as uncharacterized. The transcript is spliced from 4 exons. The record is from RefSeq and is a predicted model, not a curated record. Lineage: Eukaryota; Metazoa; Chordata; Aves; Passeriformes; Pipridae.